CCUGCAGGGAAUGCGCGAGCUUCGUACCGGCGGUGCAGAGUCCGUUCAGCGUCUGGAGGUCCAGGAAUGAUGAGUGAAAAAGACGACAUAGAGUGCCGUGAAGCAUCCCGACAAUGAACUCACCUGAAGGUACGGAAGCAUUGUAUCCGUGGAAUACCGAGGUAGAAUAAACACCGAGAUACCCAACCUGGUGCGCAACGUUUCUAUCACGCCUGCGCUCGAUCGCUCCUUCUCUGCGCUGACUAUCAGAGCCAAGCCUCAACGUAGAGACGUAACGACGACGGAACGCCUGCGCUCUUCGUUUAACUGUAAGCGGAGAAGAACAGUGACGGUUGAAUGGAAGCAAACGUCUGUGGAACACUCUUUUGCUCAUGUGCAGUGUACAUCUAGUGGCGGUAAGAGUUCUCUUCAACAAGAUCGCGCAAUGCCGAUAUUUGCUUACCAAUCGAAAGGUUUCCCCGGGUACCCCCGAUCUGGUUACAGUCUCUCUUCCC
Long non-coding RNA from Neodiprion fabricii, 494 nucleotides. RefSeq lists it as uncharacterized. The record is from RefSeq and is a predicted model, not a curated record. Lineage: Eukaryota; Metazoa; Arthropoda; Insecta; Hymenoptera; Diprionidae. The transcript is spliced from 3 exons.